Oreochromis aureus is the source of this 416-nucleotide long non-coding RNA. RefSeq lists it as uncharacterized. The record is from RefSeq and is a predicted model, not a curated record. NCBI's taxonomy places the organism in Eukaryota, Metazoa, Chordata, Actinopteri, Cichliformes, Cichlidae. The transcript has 3 exons.
GUCUGGGCGGGCCUGAGUAACUUUCCUCAGCAUCAGCUCUCCUCCUCUGGGUGGAGCCCUUCCUGCCCCUCCCCGUUCCUCAACUGCAGGCAAUUAUUCUGGCAGUAUUUAGGAGCAGCGCACACUAUGAGUGUUCGCCAGAUCGUCUGCUAACCUCAUCGGUACCUGGACUCAUCAUUCCAAAACCUGCCAUAGCCUCGUUCCUGGAUUCCGGUCAACUGCUGCUUAAUCCUUUUCAGACAAACUGCCAUUCACACCUGCCUGCCUCCCUGCAUACCUGUAUUGGACUCAGCACUCGCCUGGACCUCGCCUCGCCUCCACCUUCAGCUAAUCCCCGCCUGCGAACACUGCCCUGGUCUGCCACAGCUUCCACCAGCCCCACUCCAGUUUCAGCAGUUUAGUGACCUGACUGUUCC